UACGAAGGACCCACGCGUUAUCCGGAUUUAUUGGGUUUAAAGGGUGCGUAGGCGGGUUAUUAAGUCAGUGGUGAAAGCCUACAGCUUAACUGUAGAAUUGCCAUUGAUACUGAUGAUCUUGAGUAUGAUUGAGGUGGGCGGAAUGUGUCAUGUAGCGGUGAAAUGCUUAGAUAUGACACAGAACACCGAUUGCGAAGGCAGCUCACUAAGCCAUAACUGACGCUGAUGCACGAAAGCGUGGGGAGCAAACAGG
Molecule: ribosomal RNA, 253 nt
Filed under: uncultured bacterium
Lineage: Bacteria
Description: partial 16S ribosomal RNA
Rfam family: Bacterial small subunit ribosomal RNA
Source: RNAcentral